Trifolium pratense (red clover) is the source of this 1127-nucleotide long non-coding RNA. RefSeq lists it as uncharacterized. The transcript is spliced from 2 exons. The record is from RefSeq and is a predicted model, not a curated record. Lineage: Eukaryota; Viridiplantae; Streptophyta; Magnoliopsida; Fabales; Fabaceae.
CAACCAAUCAAAACAAAGUUAGAAUUGUUGAAACCCUAGUUGGAUGUCGCAGGCCUGUCUGUCAGUACCCUUUGAAAAUACUUAUAUUGAGAACACAAAAUACAUCAUCCAAUCCUAAACGCCAACCGCCAUCUUCCUCAAAAUAGGUAUAACUUUUGUUUUUCCAAAUCUCACACAUCAUGUGGUACUAUUAUUCUCUUCCAUCUAUGGAAUCAGAUCUUGCUCAGACAGGUUUUAAGUUUAAGCAUGGAUGGUGUGAUUGAACAUGAAAAUCACAAAGAGAUCUGAUGAAAUGAAACCAGUUGUUAUUUGCCGGCGCAACAUUAUCAAGAUUCACAUGUUUUUUAGGGGUUUAAUUUGUUUAGACCUUUGAUAUAUUUGAGAAUCCUGAUGAUGCUGCAUCUGCAAUUAAUGACUAAUAAUACCACCAAGAUCUUGAUAUAAGGAUUUCCUAUACACAGUGAUACUAUGCUGGCAGCUUGGAGAAAGAAGAAAAGAAAAAAAAAAAAAAAAGGUUAAAUCAAUUAUGUUAAACUUAAUUUGUUUUCAUAAAUAUGAAUGUUUGGAUUUAGGUGAAUUCGACAAAAUACAACGUGAUUUUGGUAACAAAAAAAAAUCUACCCUUUAGAUCACAACAAAAUCAUAGUGUUAUCAUUUUGUCAAAUUCACUAUAAAUCCAAACAUUCCACUAUAUAUGGAGAGUGGAAUUUGCAAGUUGCAACCUUUUAAACCGUGGUUGCGGUAAUGAUCAUGAUUUUUUCAUGAUCAUUCAUAUUGUGGAGAGUUUAUUUGCUUUUAUUUUAAAAAAACUCUUUUGUGAUAAUUUGCAUAUACAUAUACAUUUGCGAUCUGAUUGUGUGGUUGCCAGAGAAAACUCGGCAAAUAAAACAUGAGUAGAGUUUUGACGGAGAGAUAAAUCUUCUAGAACUGCAACAACCACUUGGAGAGAUGAAUAAUAUCUGGAGAUUAAUAAUCUAUCUGGAAAUGAACUGUAAUUCCUGACCUUAUGGCAUUUGUAUGUACUGCAGGACACACACCCUAGUGUGAAUCUAAUCAGGUAUGAGUAUGAUUGUACCAUGGUGGAACUUUUUUGUACUAUAAUAAAUCAUUGAAAAUGAUAUGCUUUU